GUAGCCGGUUCGAGAUUUAUCUCGAACAAAACUCUCCAGUGGAGAGUUUUGAGGCGGAGAAGGCCACGGCAGUGGCAGGAAAUGCGCGCCACGGCGCGCAUGCAAUAUCACUGCCAUGCACCCAUCGGGGCCUUAGCUCAGCUGGGAGAGCGCCUGAUUUGCAUUCAGGAGGUCAUCGGUUCGAUCCCGAUAGGCUCCACCAGGUCCUGAGAAGGACCAGACGGGUUAGUAGCUCAGGUGGUUAGAGCGUACGCCUGAUAAGCGUAAGGUCGAUGGUUCGAGUCCAUCCUGACCCACCAUUCCCGCAAAUCCCUUCGGCAGAGACGACUUGAUCAUCAAGCGCAAUGCGUUGCGUUUGAUCAUCCAGUCGGAUGGCGUGAGCAAUCACGCAGCUUGACAUCGUAUAGAGAGAAACAUCGGUAUCGUUUGGAGCCCGUCAGUGAGAUGGGAUCCAGGUCGCAAGACCAAGAACGAUACUGUUCCAAGUCUAGUACACUAACCGCAACUGUCGUCAGGGCAACCUGGCGAUGGAAGCAUGGGAAAGUACUGCUUUUGGUCCGAGAGGGAAAACCAACGAACCAGUGGU
This 586-nucleotide unclassified non-coding RNA is filed under the name Rhodobacter sp. SL24. RNAcentral's name for it is "16S-23S ribosomal RNA intergenic spacer". The stretch from base 223 to 296 matches the Rfam family "tRNA". The record is from RNAcentral. Lineage: Bacteria; Pseudomonadati; Pseudomonadota; Alphaproteobacteria; Rhodobacterales.